CGGCACGGGUGAGUAACACGUAUCCAACCUGCCGUCUACUCUUGGACAGCCUUCUGAAAGGAAGAUUAAUACAAGAUGGCAUCAUGAGUUCACAUGUUCACAUGAUUAAAGGUAUUUUCCGGUAGACGAUGGGGAUGCGUUCCAUUAGAUAGUAGGCGGGGUAACGGCCCACCUAGUCAACGAUGGAUAGGGGUUCUGAGGGGAAGGUCCCCCACAUUGGAACUGAGACACGGUCCAA
RNAcentral lists this ribosomal RNA (238 nucleotides) under uncultured bacterium. Its description in RNAcentral is "partial 16S ribosomal RNA". It matches the Rfam family "Bacterial small subunit ribosomal RNA", at positions 100 to 334 of the family's 1533-position model. The record is from RNAcentral.